Molecule: long non-coding RNA, 2447 nt
Organism: Triticum aestivum (bread wheat)
Lineage: Eukaryota; Viridiplantae; Streptophyta; Magnoliopsida; Poales; Poaceae
Exons: 3
Source: RefSeq, a predicted model, not a curated record
UCGCUCUCUCGCUUCUGCCUUCCUUGCAGUGCACGGCCACCCGCACUCCUCCUCCUCUUCUUCUUCCUCGGUCCCUGCCGCGCGUGCGCCUCUCGCUCGCUCGCUCUCUCCCCAAGCUCGUUUCAUUCGCCCAUGUCCUCGCCCUCGCCGCCGGUCAUCCCCGGGAGCAGGAGCAGCCGAGCGUCGCCGCCGAUCACCGCUUCACCAGGUCAGUCAGUUCAUCUGCUAGCUUGUUGCUGUUGUUUCCGUGCCAUGUCGUGUCCUGUCUGUCUGUUGCAACAGGUCAGGUCAGGUCCGGCGCCGUUGUGAGGGACGGGACGAUUAAUUUGGGUCCUCGGCCAAUCGCUCUUCCGCAUCUUGCCAUCAUUCAGUUAGUUCAGACUCGAGCUACAUCUUGGCAGAGCGGCUGGAAAUGACAAUUUGUUCAGACUGGAGGAGCAGCGGCUUUCUUUCCUGUGCAUCACAAGUUCAGAACACACGCCCUGGCUUCCUUCCUUCAGCUUUCGACGUGCGCCACAUCAGUCAGAGACGGACAAAACAAGCAGCAUCCAUCAAUCCAUGUGCACUUUGGCUGGCCUCCAUUUACACUCUCGCGGCGGCGGAGCACUGAGCAGUGACCUAAGGGCGCAUUUGAGAGAGAUGAAGCAAGCAGCAGGAUGCAAAGACAAGUCUGUCGUCUCGGCGCAACAGUCCAGCUCGUACGGCUUUCGCUUGCUGAGGUAAGAUCAAAUCAUCUUAUCCGUCAUGUCCUAGGGAUUUAUUUUACUUGGUCAAGCUUUUGGGCAUUCCUUUCCAUCGAUCCCCACAUUUAUUUUACUUGGUCAAGCUUUUGGGCAUUCCUUUCCAUCGAUACCCACUUUCUUCAACUAUGACGGCGUGUGCAUGUGUGUUCCUCAAAGCUAUCACACUCUAAAAUUUGCUAUCACACUCUAAAAUGCGUCUGUAUACAUCGUAUAUAGUCCAUAUUGAAAUCUCUACAAGGUCUUGUAUUUAAAAACGGAUUGAGUAUAGGCCAGUGUUAUACGGGAGUACUAUAUCAGCAACUAACAUUGUACAGGUAAGAAAAAUAUUCAUCUACCCCAGAAGGGUGCAGCAAAGUGAAGAUCGAGCCGAUUUAUUCAAAGGAAUGAUCACAGCACAACAAUGGAGUACACAAGAACGGCGACAGCACCCACGCAACGCAACAUGCGGCCGUGUACAUAUUGGUCACAGCUUAAUUACACUCAUCACACAAAGGUACAUCCGAUCCAUUUGCUCUCUCCGAGCUAAUACAAUGUAUGGCAGCACAUCUCAAUCACCACGCCCCGUGACGCUUCUGCCCAGGUGCGCAACGCAGGUACAGCUCCUCUGUUCUUCAGUCUCGAAACGUUGUUUCUGCCGAGAGCAGAGGGCCUUUCUCAAGGGAGGAGGGAAAAUAGGUUCGAUUCUUGCGGAGAUGCUACUCUAAAUCCGUCUCAUCUCCGCGGAUGGUAUACGGAGGAGACAUGAAAUAUGAUCUCCUCGCCGGCUUCGGGGGUAUAAUUUACAUGUCUUUUGUUUCUGCAAAAUCAAACACACUCAGGGUCAGCAAAUCCGCCAGGAGUUAGGAGAUACGACGACUUAUGUACGUAGCAGAGGAAGAAUUUCUUUACCUUUAUGAUGACUCGAUCGCCGCGACCCUCACGGGCUUCGUUACUCUUACAAUGUUCCUCAUGUGCUCAAACGCCAUCACUACCAGGCCUAUGACAUAAAGAAAGCUUAGUUGCAACUUUGCAAGUAGGUUAUACGCUGCUACGGCAGCGUUGCCGGCUUCGCCUGUUCGUAUCGCGAGGGUUACAGGCCUUGCAGAAAUAAGGGCACCGGUUUCUGGUGGUGGUAAAGGGUCAGCGUAAGAGGUGUGCCUUCCAACAUAGCCUUCCAUAGAAUUUUGCGACGUUCAGCAGCCGGUUCUUAAGCAUACCUGAUGUGUUUUCUGGCUGGGACGACCACUCGUGCGGCGCCGUCGCCGACUUGGUGGCCUUUAUCAGAUCCAUCAGCGCGUUGUUGACCUGUCAUAGAUCAAUAAUCACAUCAGUUUCUAAAAUGCUUUACUGUUAUUGGUAAAGAUGAAUGAGUGGAGAAACCAAUAAUCAUUAUCACAACUGUAUUUCUUGUUUUCUUUGGAACAUGGAGUUGAUGACACCCUAGUUGUAUCAGCACUUCAAUCGUACGCUUUACUGUAAAUCGUAAGGCUCUCUUUGGAACAAAAAGAAGCCAUCCUAGAUGUCAAAUGCUCUGAAAAGAGUCUCCGUGGCCAGUCUUCUAAGAUGCCUUAUUGUAACUAUAUUUCUCUAGCAACUUAAGUAUAGUUUAUGCCUUAGCGGGCAAAGACUGCCUAGCAGUCUGUGGUCAGUGUGUAUAACUUUCUCAAACGGAGCAAACUCUAUUGAAAUUAUUUGCACAGUUUGCAAUAGUUCUGAGUAUUUUGA